RNAcentral lists this long non-coding RNA (575 nucleotides) under Rhinopithecus roxellana (golden snub-nosed monkey). Its description in RNAcentral is "lncRNA (ENSRROG00000045926.1)". The record is from RNAcentral. Lineage: Eukaryota; Metazoa; Chordata; Mammalia; Primates; Cercopithecidae.
GGGUAUUUACUUAGUUUCUUAAAACAUUAAUUAUUCUUUCCCUUUUUUUGUACUGCAGGUCUUCCGACCCCGAACUCCACCAGAGGCAAUUGCACUGUGUAGCCGUCUGCUGGAGUAUACGCCAACUGCCCGACUAACACCACUGGAAGCUUGUGCACAUUCAUUUUUUGAUGAAUUACGGGACCCAAAUGUCAAACUACCAAAUGGGCGAGACACACCUGCACUCUUCAACUUCACCACUCAAGAACUGUCAAGUAAUCCACCUCUGGCUACCAUCCUUAUUCCUCCUCAUGCUCGGAUUCAAGCAGCUGCUUCAACUCCCACAAAUGCCACAGCAGCCUCAGAUGCUAAUACUGGAGACCGUGGACAGACCAAUAAUGCUGCUUCUGCAUCAGCUUCCAACUCCACCUGAACGGUCCCCAGCAGCCAGCUGCACAGGAAAAACCACCAGUUACUUGAGUGUCACUCAGCAACACUGGUCACGUUUGGAAAGAAUAUUAAAAAGAGAAAAAAAACCUGUUCAUUUUAGUGUUCAAUUUUUUUAUUAUUAUUGUUGUUCUUAUUUAACCUUGUAA